GAUGAACGCUGGCGGCGUGCCUAAUACAUGCAAGUCGAGCGAACAGACGAGGAGCUUGCUCCUCUGACGUUAGCGGCGGACGGGUGAGUAACACGUGGAUAACCUACCUAUAAGACUGGGAUAACUUCGGGAAACCGGAGCUAAUACCGGAUAAUAUAUUGAACCGCAUGGAUCAAUAGUGAAAGACGGUUUUGCUGUCACUUAUAGAUGGUUCCGCGCCGCAUUAGCUAGUUGGUAAGGUAACGGCUUACCAAGGCAACGAUGCGUAGCCGACCUGAGAGGGUGAUCAGCCACACUGGAACUGAGACACGGUCCAGACUCCUACGGGAGGCAGCAGUAGGGAAUCUUCCGCAAUGGGCGAAAGCCUGACGGAGCAACGCCGCGUGAGUGAUGAAGGUCUUCGGAUCGUAAAGCUCUGUUAUUAGGGAAGAACAAAUGUGUAAGUAACUAUGCACGUCUUGACGGUACCUAAUCAGAAAGCCCCGGCUAACUACGUG
RNAcentral lists this ribosomal RNA (497 nucleotides) under uncultured bacterium. RNAcentral's name for it is "partial 16S ribosomal RNA". It matches the Rfam family "Bacterial small subunit ribosomal RNA", at positions 28 to 507 of the family's 1533-position model. The record is from RNAcentral.